AAUUGGAGGGCAAGUCUGGUGCCAGCAGCCGCGGUAAUUCCAGCUCCAAUAGCGUAUAUUAAAGUUGUUGCAGUUAAAAAGCUCGUAGUUGAAUUUCGGGAUCAAUAUUUCGGUCAUGCCGUUGGUAUGCACUGUUAUCAUUGACUUCUCACCUUCUAAAGAACCGUAAUGCCAUUAAUUUGGUGUUACGGGGAAUUAGGACUGUUACCUUGAAAAAAUUAGAGUGUUUAAAGCAGGCUCACGCUUGAAUACAUUAGCAUGGAAUAAUGAAAUAGGACAUCCGAUUCUAUUUUGUUGGUUUCUAGGAUCGAUGUAAUGAUUAAUAGGGAUAGUUGGGGGCAUUAGUAUUCAAUUGUCAGAGGUGAAAUUCUUGGAUUUAUUGAAGACUAACUACUGCGAAAGCAUUUGCCAAGGAUGUUUUCAUUAAUCAAGAACGAAAGUUAGGGGAUCGAAGACGAUCAGAUACCGUCGUAGUCUUAACCAUAAACUAUGCCGACUAGGGAUCGGAUGAUGUUAAUUUUUUAAUGACUCAUUCGGCGCCUUACGGGAAACCAAAGUGU
This 560-nucleotide ribosomal RNA is filed under the name uncultured Glomus. RNAcentral's name for it is "SSU rRNA". It matches the Rfam family "Eukaryotic small subunit ribosomal RNA", at positions 546 to 1106 of the family's 1831-position model. The record is from RNAcentral. Lineage: Eukaryota; Fungi; Glomeromycota; Glomeromycetes; Glomerales; Glomeraceae.